Molecule: ribosomal RNA, 497 nt
Filed under: uncultured bacterium
Lineage: Bacteria
Description: partial 16S ribosomal RNA
Rfam family: Bacterial small subunit ribosomal RNA
Source: RNAcentral
GAGGAACGAGGGAGGAGUGCCUAAUACAUGCAAGUCGAGCGAACAGAUGAGGGGCUUGCUCCUCUGACGUUAGCGGCGGACGGGUGAGUAACACGUGGAUAACCUACCUAUAAGACUGGGAUAACUUCGGGAAACCGGAGCUAAUACCGGAUAAUAUAUUGAACCGCAUGGUUCAAUAGUGAAAGACGGUUUUGCUGUCACUUAUAGAUGGAUCCGCGCCGCAUUAGCUAGUUGGUAAGGUAACGGCUUACCAAGGCAACGAUGCGUAGCCGACCUGAGAGGGUGAUCGGCCACACUGGAACUGAGACACGGUCCAGACUCCUACGGGAGGCAGCAGUAGGGAAUCUUCCGCAAUGGGCGAAAGCCUGACGGAGCAACGCCGCGUGAGUGAUGAAGGUCUUCGGAUCGUAAAACUCUGUUAUUAGGGAAGAACAAAUGUGUAAGUAACUAUGCACGUCUUGACGGUACCUAAUCAGAAAGCCACGGCUAACUACGUG